Molecule: unclassified non-coding RNA, 232 nt
Filed under: Nothopucciniastrum miyabeanum
Lineage: Eukaryota; Fungi; Basidiomycota; Pucciniomycetes; Pucciniales; Pucciniastraceae
Also listed under: 1 other name
Description: Pucciniastrum miyabeanum ITS2
Source: RNAcentral
AAACCCUCUCAUUCCAAUUCUUUAUUAAUUUGAAGAUGUUGGUAAUGGAUGUUGAGUGUUUGCUGUGUUAAACAGCUCACUUUAAAUAUAUAAGUACAUUUAUUUGAUAAAUAAGUGGAGAAAUACUUGGUGUGAUAAUUAUCAUUCAUCAAGGAAUGUUGGAGUAGUAAAAUACUUUGACAGCCAUUUGAAUUUCAAGUUGAUAGCUUCCUAACCCCAAUUUUUAAUACCU